RNAcentral lists this long non-coding RNA (1677 nucleotides) under Phasianus colchicus (ring-necked pheasant). RNAcentral's name for it is "lncRNA (ENSPCLG00000017084.1)". Lineage: Eukaryota; Metazoa; Chordata; Aves; Galliformes; Phasianidae. The record is from RNAcentral.
AUGGAUGCAGUAGAGACCCCACUGACCCCAUAGAGACCCUAUAGGAACCCAGUUGAUUCCUUAGGACCCUAUCAAUCUCAUAGGGACCCCACUGACCCCAUUGGAACCCCAUGGAUGCAGUAGAGACCCCACUGACCCCCAGAGACCCCAUAGGAACCCCAUUGAUUCCUUAGGACCCUAGUGACCCCAUUGGAACCCCAUGGAUGCAGUAGAGACCCCACUGACCCCAUAGAGACCCCAUAGGAACCCCAUUGACCCGUUAGGACCCUAUUGACCCCAUUGACCCCAUAGGAACCCCACUGACCCCUAGAGACCGCAUAGGAGCCCCAUUGACCCAUUAGGACCCUAUUGACCCCGUAGGAACCCCACUGACCCCGUAGGGACUGGAUUGACCUCAUAAAGAUUACAUUGCUUUAUCGGGACCAUAUUGACUUCAUGGAGACGCCACUGACCCCAUAGGAACCCUGUUGACCCACUGGGACCCCACUGACCCCAUAGGGACCCUAUUGACCCAUUGGGAUCCCAUAGGGACCCCUUGGACCCAUUGGGACCCUGUUGACCCUAUAGGGGCUCCACUGACCCCAUUGGAACCCCAUGGACGCCAUAGAGACCCCACUGACCCCAUAGGGACCGCACUGAUCCAUUGGGAUCCCAUUGACCCAUUGGGACCCUUCUGACCCCAUAGGGAGCUCAUUGACCCCAUAGAGACCCCACUGAUCCUAUAGAGGUCCCAUUGGGACUCCAUUGACCCAUAGAGAACCCAUUGACCCAUAUGGACCCUGUUGAUUCCAUAGAGACGCCACUGACCCAUAGGAACCCCAUUGACCCCAUAGAGAUCCUACUGAUCCCAGUAGGACCCCAUUGACCCGUUGGGACUGCACUGACCCCAUAGGGAACUCAUUCACCGUAUAGAGACCCCACUGACCCCAUUGGGACUGCAUUGGCCCAUAGAGAACCCAUUAACGCGUUGGGAUCCUACUGAUCUGUAUAGGAUCUACGUUGACUCUGUAUGGCCUGCGCUGACCCCAUAGGGACCCCAGUGACCCCAUAGGGACCCCAGUGACCCCAUAGAAAUCUUGUUGAUCCCAUAGAGCUCCCAAUGUUCUCGUAGAGGCUUCAUCGUCUAUAUAGGGACCCCAUUGACUCCAUAGGAACCCCAUUGACCCAUUGGGACCCCACUGACCCCAUAGAGAUCUUAUUGAUCCCACAGAGCCCCCAGUGCCUCCAUACAGGCUUCAUUGUCCUUACAGGAACCCCAUUGACCCUAUAGGGACUCGUUUCAGACCCCAUUGACGCCAUAGAGACGCCAUUGAACCCUAGAGACCCUACUGACCCCAUAGAGAUCUUGUUGAUCCUAUAGAGCUCCCAAUGUUCUCAUAGAGGCUCUGUUGUCCAUAUAGGGACCCUGUUGACCCCAUAGGGAUGCUUUUGAGACCUUCAUGUCCCUGUAGAGACCCCACUGACCCCAUAGGAACCCCAUUGACCCACUGAGACUCCACUGACCCCACAGAGAUGUCAUUGAUCCCACAGAGCCCCCAGUGCCGCCAUAGAGGCUUCGUUGUCCCUACAGGGACCCUAUUGACCCUAUAGGGACUUGUUUGAGACCCCAUUGACCCCAUAGGGACCCCAUUGAACCCUAGAGACCCCAAUGACCCCAUAGAGAUCUUGUUGAUCCUA